Molecule: small nucleolar RNA, 127 nt
Filed under: Cicer arietinum (chickpea)
Lineage: Eukaryota; Viridiplantae; Streptophyta; Magnoliopsida; Fabales; Fabaceae
Source: RNAcentral
GAGCAAAAGCGUCGAUUAAUGGCGAAUAUUUGCAUUGAAGGUUGGCGAAAUCGAGCACCAAUGGCGAUUCUCCGUGCCUAUCAAAUUUAAUUAGUUUUGAUUAUGGCCUCGAACAAGUCGCUACAUC